UACAGAGGUCCCAAGCGUUGUUCGGAUUUACUGGGCGUAAAGGGUGCGUAGGAGGUCUGGAAAGUCGGGUGUGAAAUCCCACCGCUCAACGGUGGAAUGGCGCUCGAUACUUCCAGACUCGAGGACCGGAGGGGAGAACGGAAUUCCUGGUGUAGCGGUGAAAUGCGUAGAUAUCAGGAGGAACACCAACGGCGAAGGCAGUUCUCUGGAAGGUACCUGACUCUGAGGCACGAAGGCCAGGGGAGCAAAC
RNAcentral lists this ribosomal RNA (250 nucleotides) under uncultured bacterium. RNAcentral's name for it is "partial 16S ribosomal RNA". It matches the Rfam family "Bacterial small subunit ribosomal RNA", at positions 524 to 773 of the family's 1533-position model. The record is from RNAcentral.